This is a long non-coding RNA of Mesoplodon densirostris (Blainville's beaked whale), 1296 nucleotides long. RefSeq lists it as uncharacterized. The transcript has 2 exons. Lineage: Eukaryota; Metazoa; Chordata; Mammalia; Artiodactyla; Ziphiidae. The record is from RefSeq and is a predicted model, not a curated record.
GUGGUAUUGAGAGGUAGAGCAAAGUGAGUGAAAAAGUGCUUAUUGGAAUACAAACUGCCAGACAUAGUUAAGACUUCAGUAGUUUGAGAUAAUAAUCUUGGGAGAUUAAGACUAAAACUUGCAACAUGGGACUUAAUUUCUUCCAGGCAAUAAUAGGAGAGAGGACGACACAAAGCGGUGCAUGAUUAACAUCCAAGGGAAUUAUGGAGCCAGUGUGGGAGGAGCUCAGAGGUGAUGGUGUUGUGGUCAGGCUGGGGGCCCCCCACGUUCUGGGCCCGGGGUAGGCACUGAAACAGGCAGGUCUCCUUUCAAGCCUAACUUCUAAAAGUUACCAGAAACCAGACUCCUAACUGAAUAGACAUCGGGAAAUGAGUGGUAAUUUAAUAACUCUCUGACCAUUCCUUUUCUUUCUUAAUACUGUACCAAAACGGGCGGAAAACUUGAUUCUGUCCUCAGAUAAUCCCUUCCGGGGAGAUUCGUAGUGUAUGUGCUUUUUGGCCUAGUUAAGGUGGAGGCCUAAGGAGCAUUGAAGGACUGCUUUGACUCUGGUUUAUUUAAGAAGGUAAGAGUAAGGACUAACAGUGUUUACCAGAGGCAUAGCUUGUUAGUACUGCAAAUAAAUUUGUUUGGUGCUGAUUAUAUAGUAAAAUUUUUACUAGCUGUGAAUGCAUGGUGAGACCAGUGCCUUCUCCCACUUCAGCCAGGUUGCAGCACAAACGUCUUCUUUUCUGUCGGUCAGCCCUUGUACAGUGGUGUCACUCUUCUGGUCCACGCUUCAGAUUUCCCCUCACCUUUCCUGUCUGUUCAUUUACCAGGGCCUGUUUCCCACCCCGGUGCCUACUUCUUCUGUUAACUUUUUGCCCAGGCUGCUUCAGGUACUGUUACCUCCUACCUAAACGGUCUCUAACUGGCUGCCCACUUCUGAUCUCCCUGCCCCUCCAGUCCAUCUGCUGCAGAACCAUCUUCCUGACGGCCUCUUUGCUGCCCCCAGAUCUGCAUCCAGAAUGAUACGCGUGCCCCUCACUGUCGUGGCCUCUCCCAUUGCGGGGCACAGGCUCCGGACGCGCAGGCUCAGCGGCCAUGGCUCACCGGCCCAGCUGCUCCGCGGCAUGUGGGAUCCUCCCAGACGGGGGCACGAACCCCCGUCCCCUGCAUCGGCAGGCGAACUCUCAACCACUGCGCCACCAGGGAAGCCCCUGCAUGCUGUUUUUGAAAAAUGCAUGUUUCUUUCUGAAUUUUACCCCUACUUUAAAAGAAUAAUGGUGAACGAAGAGUAAUAUAACUAUUUUGAAGUAA